GUGGAAGCGUGGUGACACGUGGAGCUGACGGAUACUAAUGGAUCGAUGACUUAUCUAU
Molecule: ribosomal RNA, 58 nt
Filed under: Halobacillus dabanensis
Lineage: Bacteria; Bacillati; Bacillota; Bacilli; Caryophanales; Bacillaceae
Description: 23S rRNA. Bacterial LSU
Source: RNAcentral